RNAcentral lists this long non-coding RNA (7760 nucleotides) under Malus domestica (apple). Its description in RNAcentral is "long non-coding RNA (MDOM_LNC009440)". The record is from RNAcentral. Lineage: Eukaryota; Viridiplantae; Streptophyta; Magnoliopsida; Rosales; Rosaceae.
UGGGAAAGUAUAUAGGUUUUACAGCGAGGGGUUAGAAAUAUUGUUAAAUUGAAGUAUUUUCGAAAAGCUUUGUUUUACUGACCCACUCAAUUUUGUUUUGCGCCCCUCCAGGUUCUAGUUAGCAGCGUUGGUGGCCCACGAGGAUUCCCACAGCAUUCUGACAGACUAGAUAAAUGUACGACUCACUUUCGGGUGUUGUAAUUUAGCAAUGUUCCUACUUGACUGCACCUAGUACUUAUGCUCUGAAUAUGUGUGUUUCACACUUAAACUUACUCUAGCAUGCUAGUUGGAUAUUAUUGCUAGUAGUUGGUUUUAAUUCCUUCGUAUUUCUCUUAUCUAUUGCUUCCGUAUCGCACUUUUGGUUACGUCGCGCUCACGUGACGGCCAGCACGCCUUGAUUCUAGGAUCGGGGGUGUGUCAGUUUGGUAUCAGAGCUUCCGUGAUGGCCGUCACGUGGGCAUGACGUAACCAAAAGUGCGAUGCGGAAAAUAGAGAGAAAUACGAAGAUCGGGGUGUGACACACCCCGUCCCGAAGGAGGGCAUGCUGGCCGUCACGUGAGAGUGACGUAACCAUUUGCACAGUACGGAAGCUUUAAGAUACAAUUUAAAUUGAUACACCCGAAGGUGAGUCCUAAUUUUGUCCAAUCUGUCAGAACACCGUCGAAUUCCUCGUAGUCACCACACCUUUGUGAUUCCUGAACCUGGAGGGGCGCAAAACCAAAAUUGAGUGGGUCAGUAAAACAAUUCUUUUCCAAAUCCAAACAUUUCUCAAAACGUUGUAACCCCUCUCCGUAAAACCUGUAUACUUUCCCAGAAAUGUAAAAUAUAAAUAUACAUAUAUAUUCUCAAAACUUCAUUUUUACUAUCUCAACAUUAUCUCGUUAUCAAUCAUGCCAUGCCAUGUCAUCUCAACAUUUCUCAUAUUAAUUAUGCCAUGCCACAUCAUCUCAACAGUAAUAAGGUAUGAAUGCAUCAACAUAAUCAUAUCAGGUGCAAGAAAGUAAUCAACCGUAGGCCCUCUAAUAGCCCUGUACGGUUGAACCUAGAGCUCAAAAUCUAUCAUUAUCACUCUACCGGAGUCACCUCUGUGACCCGUCCGGCCUUCUGCACACAAGUUACGCUCUAGUGCUUCUCAUAAAUCAUCUGUGCACAUAAUCUAAGGUCACCCACCAGUCGGAAUCUCACUAAACACUCUCGCGACUGGUCUGUCGUACCCACUCCGCGUGGACUGUACGACUAGCAUCUACUUGGAUCCAAGGCGAGCGUGCGAUGCGGUGAAUACUAUAAGCACUAAACCAUGGUGCAGGAUUUGAGCUCAAUAUAUAUCAACAUCAUCAUAACAGUAUUUAAAUAAUCACCUGAUACUCACCUGUGCGUCCACCGCACCAUUUCAUACAUAUGCAUCAUAAAUCAAUUCUUACAUGUGCGUCCACCGCACCAAUUCAUACAUAUGCAUCAUAUAUUAAUUCAUGCAUGGCAUUUCAACUCACAUUUCUAUAUACUUUUCAUAUCAAUUCUAUGCAUGGUAUUUCACUUCCCGUUUUUCCACAUAACUCAUAUGCAUUUCAUUUUAAACAUAUUUUCAUUUCAAUUCAAUUUCUGGGAAACGUCAAGUAUAUAUAUAUAUACGGAAAACAAAACUGCCCACUCACCUGGAGUUCGUCCAACAACUCCCUAGCACCACACAUCAAGGCGUCACGACGAUCGCCGCCUAGAAUAGUAAUCAAAUCCAACCUCAGAAUUCAUAUCGAUAGAAUAUUUAACUUAUAUAAAAUACGUCACUACGUAGUUCGAUCCGGAAGAUCUGCCACUCAGAUUUUAAAUCCAUAACUUCCAGAGGUCCACAAUAUACCUCUAGGACAACAUCCUAAAAUUUCAUUACCAUCCAACGGUUGGAUUUCCGUCAAUUUCCAAAACUAAGUGACGGUUAACAUUUUAUAUUAUGGACUUACAAUUCCAAUUCCGGAAGAUCCGUAACUCGGAUUCCCAAUCCGUAAGUUCCAAUAAUCCUCAAAUAUUACGUAUUAUAACGUAUCAAAGUUUGGUGAUGCUCCAACGGUCGGAUCAUCAAUUCACAUUUUCACCUAAAUGUGAAAACUAUAAAACGUUAUUUGAACACCUAACCAACAAUCUUCAAUAACUUUCUCAUACGGUGUUCAAUUUAGGUAUAUGAAUAUACCACAGUGAUCUACUCGACGUCACGGACGUCGACAUAUUUUUAAAAUAAUUUUAUUUUUAUUUUUUAUUUUUUACUGUAGCACCUUCUUCUUCCUUGGGUCGCCGGACUGGUUUUUCCGGCGGCCGUUUUCUGGGCAGUUUUUCAAAUUGCCAUAACUUUGUCAUUUCUCAACGAAAUCAAGUGAUUCAAAAACUAAAGUUGUAGCCCUUGAAGAUAAAAAGAGAAUGGUACCUUGCACAACACCUAGUUCGCCGUGGUUUGGCCGGAAACUGCCUCGAAAGCCUCGGAGGUCGCCGGAAACUGGGUAUUUUUCAAAUGAGUAUAACUUCUUCAAUACUCAACUAAAUUGAGUGAAACAAAAAGGAAAGUUGUAGUACUUGACGAGACGAAGAGAUUGAUACCUACCUCGACUCCUAACUCGCCGGGGAUUCGCCGGAAAACGCCUCGAAAGCUCCGGCCAAACUUUGAACUUGUCGAUCUCCGUGUUCUUACGUCCAAAAACUUCCAACGAAGCACUCCGAGCUUCCUUGGGACAUCCUAAAGCUCACUAUGAGCUUGGUUUGGCCUAAAACACAACCAAUUCAAAGCUCAUGAACAGUACACAUUCACGGCAACUUUAGAAACUAGGGUUUUUCGAAAUGAAACUUACCUGAAAAUGGUACCUACGUGAUCGUGAAGUCCUCAGGGUUGCAAUGGUGGUCUUAACUUGGACGUUCGUGGAGAUUUGAUUGUGGUUUGUGUGUGAGUCCGUAUGUUAGAGAGUAAGAGAUUGAGAGUGAAAAUCUGAAAUGGAAGAAGAAGAGAGAGAAGGAAAGGUUACGGAAAAUGGGGAGGAAAUUAGGGUAUAGGACCCUACCUAAAGUCCAACACAACAAUAGCUUAGAAAUUUUAGGUAAAACAAACACCAAAAUUACGCACCUUAAUCCCGUUUAAGGGCGUUUUUGUAAUUUCAUGUCCUCGGAAUUAAAAAUUCCGGGACGGGCUGUGACAAUCUCCCCUCCUUAUAGAAUUUCGUCCCCGAAAUUCCAGCAACCAACUAAAUCAUCUACACUCCAACAAUAGCUUCGGGUAAAUCUUUCUCAUCCGAUUCUCUUUCUCCCACAUACUUUUCUACUGAAUGAUUUCCUUCACAAAGCUUUUACUACUUACUCUGUCUUAAUUCUUAGGACCUUCUUUUUCCAAUCCAAAGUCGACAUUAGUUCCUCACCAAUCAGAUCCGGCUUAAUUCUCAAUAGUUGCACCAAAGUCCCAUGUAACGACUCUGCCACUUAGUGACAACGCAUCGAACACAAAAUACAUUAUGUGCCUUAGCCAAUUCUGAAGGCAUCACAAACUUGUAUGCAACUUUAUUGAUUCCUUUAGUGAUAAAAAAAUGGUCUGAUGUGUCUAAAUCUUAUCUUGUCUCUUUUCCAAUUCUCUUCAUUUCUGUUCGUGGUGAAUUUUCCAAAAAUAUCAAACCAUUUACCUUACACACUCGAUUAGUGGCAUAUCCAUCUGUUGAUCUCUUUUGCCAUUCCUGGUUACUUCAGGUUAACUUAAUCACCUGAAUACUUUGAGGAGACUCAUCCAUAGUCUCAGGGUCUACUAAAACUCUUUCUCGAUCGAAUCUUUCUCUACCCAGAAACAUUCCAUUCACAAGUCAUCAAAAACCGACUCACGUGACACAUUUCAUGGUCCUUAUGGCGUUACUUCGGAAACUGCACAACCAACAUACUUAAGGAACUUAGCAGUUCCGUAAUCCAAUUCUCUUUUUCCAUAAAACAAAUAAGUAGUGUUGCACUGUCUGGGAAAGGUUGUUACUCAACACUGGAGUAAAUGCACUAACUUGUUACUUAACAAGUAUAACUUCUUCUCGUUCUUCCAUUCUUAAUUUUUCUUCCGUUGGUUUUCAAUCCACAAAAUGAUACUCUUGGCAAACGUGCCAGAUAUUAAUCUUACUGUAGUCUUCUCACCAAGUGCUUCAGCUAGAACAAGCUUUACGAUCACCAUGAUCGUACAAUCGUGUUCAUUAAGCAAUACAAUUCACUUUCGCUGCCUCAUAUCAAAAUCCUUCCAAGUAAUGGAUAUUGAAGACUUUUUGGAUUCGUAAAAAAAAAUCUUGCAUUCCCACUAAAAUAUAAUGUCUCCAUAACUUCACAGCAAGAAUGGUAAUCGUGACUUCCAAAUCACCAGUAGGGUAAUUCAUCUUAUGAGAUUCCAUUUAUCGUGAAACGUAUGCAAUCACCGUAACAUUUGCAUCAACAUGCCUCCAAUACCAUUCAAGAAACAUCACUAAAAAUUUAUGAUUACCACUAUUCUCUGGGAUUACUAAAAUACGUGCAUGAGUGAGGAAAUACUUCAGUUGUUGAAUCCUUUGCUCACAAUUUCCUUCCCACUCAUACAUAACCUCCUUUCUCAACAGUCUCGUUAAUGACAAAGCAAUGACUAAAAAUUCUUUCACAACCAUCCAAAAUAGCCUGGUAAGCUAAGAAAUUCCAAAUCUCAAUUACGACUCGUGGUUGUUCCAAAUUUUAAUUUCUGUUACCUUUUAAGGAUUCACUUGAAUACCUUAAGAAUAUAUAACAUAUCCCAGAAAUGCUGCUUGAUUCAUCCAACAUUAGUAUUUGCUAAACUUAGCAUACAACCAACGUUCUCUCAAUCUUUGCUUCAUUGACUUAAUACGUUUACAUGCUCCGCUCUGGCUCAGAAUAUGCCAGAAUAUCUUCAAUGAAAAUGAUAUCUAUUUAUCAAGGCAUUAUUGGAAUACUUCAUCCAAUAACUCAUAAAACAGCAUGAGUAUCCACAUAGCAUCACCAAACUUCAUAAAAACUAUAACAAGUCCAGAAAACCAUCUUAUGAUCAACGUCACUUAUAAUAUUCAAUUGGUAGUAACCAGAUCUCAAUUCAAUCUUUGAAUCUUCGCAAUUACUUCUGAGCUGGUUAAAUAAACAUCAGUACAUCACCAUGGAUAACGGUUCUCAAUCGUUACCCGACUCCAUUAUCUAUAAUCAAGGAAUAGUCUUUAAAGUCCAUUUUCUUUCUCACCAACAAACUGGUGCUCCUCAACAGUGUUGUACUAGGUUGAAUAAAACUUUUAUCAACCAAUUCUCUCAACUGAAUUUCCAAUUCCCUUAACUCAUCAUGAACCAAUCUUUAACAUAAAUUUAUACCUGGCAACAAAUCAAUAAUGAACCUCAUAUCUCUGCCUGAAGACAAUCCAGGUAUACUUUCAGAGAAGACAUCAAGAAAAGUCUAACCCUUUCGACAUUAUUCACACUACUCCAAACAACAUCAUUUAGCACCACAUGAGCUAAGUAUUUUUGACAGCCUUUCAAAACAAUCUCUUUGCUUUCACAGCAUAAAUAAUGGCUGAACUCACUUCACUUUGCAUACUUACAAAAGUAAUCUCUGGUCAUCCAGAUCGAUGGAAAGUACUGGUUUCCCUUAACAUUCCGUCUUGUCACAAUUAUAACCAACCAAUCUAAUGGAAAUAAUUUAACCGACACAAUACAUACUCUAUUACUACUAAGCAUUCUGAAUAAGUACAAUACUAACAUAAAAUAAUCUACCGGUUUACUUACUUAACGAAUCCACGAAUGAGUUAUUAAUAUUACGGUCUGCAGCCCGCAAUACUGAUAAAUCAUCGUUGUCUCGAUAAGUAGGCAACCACUCACAAAGAUAUAACAUUACUAUUUUGUCACUCAAUGCAAAAUACAUACACUCGUCUCAACUACAUUUAUUUACUACUCUCUAGGUAAUAACAUACAUAAUAAGAAAUAUAUCAGCCGAAGUCAACUAGAAUGACCAAUACGGCUGAUUCAACUUUUAUCUCAAUAAUACGUCGGCCGGAUCCACUCCGCGUGGUCGGUACGGCCGAGCCUAUAACUCACCAAUUUCUCAUGUGUCAAUAUAAUCCACUUCUCAUAGUCUGUACGACUGAACAUAUAACUCAUCAAAUCUCUUUGUACUCACGGUCAAUCCGACCAAACUACUAAAUUCAUAAACUUGUUGAAUCAACACUAUGAUAUCAUGGAAAAUUGUUGAGUACAACUGAUUCUAGGGACGAUUCACAAUUCUGUGUCCCCUCUGUUCACAUAAACACAUUCAUUAAUUUCACAUUUCCCAAAGUGUUAAUUUUGUACCUGCUGCACAAGGUACAUUUCCUUUACUCGAGACACCUUGUCUCAAAUAUCUGGGAUUACCAGUAUAUCCAUCACUUUUACUCUGACCAGCGACAUUAAAACCUCAGCUGGAAGAAUUAACUCUAGCUUCACUUCUUUCGAAGCUCUGAAUCUUUCUAUAUCCUUGAUAUGACGAAUCAUUAACUUUAUCGUCUUCUUUGGAUUCCCAUUCAUUUCUUAUUCUUCUUUAUUCUCGUUGCUCAUGUUCUCAGAGUCCUCAAGACUCAACAACAUCUCGUAUAUUCCUGGUAAGAAGUACAAUGGAUAGUGGUCACCCAAAAUACCACUUCCCUUUUUGCCACCCAACUUAAAACAACAUAACACCUCCACCAAAUUAACAACAAUAUCUGGAUGGAACGAGGCAAGUCUGAAAACUUUCUAUAAUAUCCCUCGAUCAUCACCUUCCUUGUCUCAUAUUUGUAAACUCUUGUUUACUACCAUCAAUAAAUGCCGGAGGGAUAAACUUUUCCUUAAACAAGUCCUUAAACAAUUCUCAAUCGACUGUUCCUCCGGUGACAACAAAUCAUACUCCUGUUUCCACCAGGAUACAAAUUCAUAACCAAAACCAGGUAGUCGUCUCGACCCUUUGUCAGAAGGAAGAUUCCUUUGACUUGCAUAUUCCGAAACAUCUUUUCCAAUUGGUUAAUCCGUCACUUUGUUCCCUCAGGUUCAUCAUUUCUCUUAAGUGAUUCAAAUUCAACUCAUAACCCGUCUUAAAAUGUCCAUUUUUCUAAUAUACUGAAUCACCACAAGAAUAGUUUCCCCUAACUCGCUAAAUCAGGGAGACUAAGUUCCUCUAACUACGUGGUUUGCUACGAGGCGGUGUAGUUCUGACAGAAUUCACUAGAAACUUCUCAAGAUGUCCAAGAUUGCAACCAUGCUCUGAUACCAACUGACACACCCCGUCCCGAAGGAGGGCAUGCUGGCCGUCACGUGAGAGUGACGUAACCAUUUGCACAGUACGGAAGCUUUAAGAUACAAUUUAAAUUGAUACACCCGAAGGUGAGUCCUAAUUUUGUCCAAUCUGUCAGAACACCGUCGAAUUCCUCGUAGUCACCACACCUUUGUGAUUUCCUGAACCUGGAGGGGCGCAAAACCAAAAUUGAGUGGGUCAGUAAAACAAUUCUUUUCCAAAUCCAAACAUUUCUCAAAACGUUGUAACCCCUCUCCGUAAAACCUGUAUACUUUCCCAGAAAUGUAAAAUAUAAAUAUACAUAUAUAUUCUCAAAACUUCAUUUUUACUAUCUCAACAUUAUCUCGUUAUCAAUCAUGCCAUGCCAUGUCAUCUCAACAUUUCUCAUAUUAAUUAUGCCAUGCCACAUCAUCUCAACAGUAAUAAGGUAUGAAUGCAUCAACAUAAUCAUAUCAGGUGCAAGAAAGUAAUCAACCGUAGGCCCUCUAAUAGCCCUGUACGGUUGAAC